This 239-nucleotide ribosomal RNA is filed under the name uncultured bacterium. RNAcentral's name for it is "partial 16S ribosomal RNA". It matches the Rfam family "Bacterial small subunit ribosomal RNA", at positions 15 to 244 of the family's 1533-position model. The record is from RNAcentral.
GAUCUGGCUCAGGAUGAACGCUAGCUACAGGCUUAACACAUGCAAGUCGAGGGGAAACGACAUCGAAAGCUUGCUUUUGAUGGGCGUCGACCGGCGUACGGGUGAGUAACGCGUAUCCAACCUGCCCAUCACUUGGGGAUAACCUUGCGAAAGUAAGACUAAUACCCAAUGACGUCUCUAGAAGACAUCUGAAAGGGAUUAAAGAUUUAUCGGUGAUGGAUGGGGAUGCGUCUGAUUAG